This 74-nucleotide transfer RNA is filed under the name Verrucomicrobiales bacterium. RNAcentral describes it as "tRNA-Arg". It matches the Rfam family "tRNA". From Rfam's summary of the family: Transfer RNA (tRNA) molecules are approximately 80 nucleotides in length. Their secondary structure includes four short double-helical elements and three loops (D, anti-codon, and T loops). The record is from RNAcentral. Lineage: Bacteria; Pseudomonadati; Verrucomicrobiota; Verrucomicrobiia; Verrucomicrobiales.
GCUCCCUUAGCUCAGCCGGAUAGAGCAACGGAUUUCUAAUCCGUAGGUCGCAGGUUCGAAUCCUGCAGGGAGCG